UUCUGAGUGAUUCUGUAGACAGUGUUUGUUCUGUCCACAGGUGCUCAGAGAGAGAGAGAGCAGACAACAGCCACUCUGUCUCUGCUAAACAUCUUCAAGGUCCCUGUGCUGGUAUAAACGUCUGACAAGAGGAGCUUCCCCAUGAGACACUCAUCGGGAUGCUGGCGAGGUUCCGGUGUGCAGCACCACGGCUGGAGCAUGGCGGUGACAUGGCGGCGACAGACUUGUGUGCAGAAGGACUCGUUGCACUCGUUGUUCCUUUUUCCUAUGCAUAUACUUCUUUGAGAUGUGGCUUUAAAGAGGCAUAAGGCAUGGGAAAAUGGGGCUGCAGAGGUUUUCUUCAGAGCAGACAGCAGGUCCAUCAUCAGCCCUGAGACACACACACACAAAUUUGUAUUGCUGUUGUUUUCUCUUUUUGUUCAUUUUUGAAUGUUUCUGUUAUUUUCUGCUCUCUGAAUAAAGAUGUUGUAAAUGUC
This is a long non-coding RNA of Nothobranchius furzeri (turquoise killifish), 476 nucleotides long. RefSeq lists it as uncharacterized. The record is from RefSeq and is a predicted model, not a curated record. Lineage: Eukaryota; Metazoa; Chordata; Actinopteri; Cyprinodontiformes; Nothobranchiidae.